AUGUAUGAAUGGCUAGAAAGAAACCUGGCUGGCCCCAAUUAUAAUUGGGUUUGGAAAGCCCCUGUUCCAUUGAAGAUUAAAAUCUUCUUAUGGCAGUUAUUUCAGAAUGCUAUACUUACACGAGACAAUAUGCGCAAUAGGAAGUGGCCUGGAAAUCCUAUGUGUUCCUUUUGUACAAAUAUAGAAACUGCGAACCACUUGUUUUUUACCUGCCCUCUUGCUCGUACAGUUUGGGACGUGUUGGGUAUGACAGUUGGGGCUUCUUGUUGUCCCCGAUCUCUUUGGCAAAGCUUUGUCUGGUUCUAUAGGUUCCUUCCAGGAGGGGAUCAAUUAUAUAUAAUGAUUACUGCUGCCAUAUGUUGGGGAAUUUGGUGUCUCCGCAAUAAAGUUACCUUUGAUAAAUAUAUGGCUCGUACUCCUUUGGAGGCUGUUUUCACUGCCUGCUCGUUUAUGUUGUACUGGGCAGGUUUACUCAAAGCUGAAGACAAGGCGAAAUUCCAAGCUGGCGUGAAGAGAUUGGCGCAUGUGGCUGCUGCACUGGCGGACAGACCCUUCGCUCACGACAGACCCUUCGCUCACGACAGGCUUCUCUUGGGUGACAGGGAUGAGAUCCAGAUUGGUUAA
RNAcentral lists this ribosomal RNA (624 nucleotides) under Triticum aestivum (bread wheat). Its description in RNAcentral is "partial small subunit ribosomal RNA". Lineage: Eukaryota; Viridiplantae; Streptophyta; Magnoliopsida; Poales; Poaceae. The record is from RNAcentral.